Molecule: ribosomal RNA, 292 nt
Filed under: uncultured bacterium
Lineage: Bacteria
Description: partial 16S ribosomal RNA
Rfam family: Bacterial small subunit ribosomal RNA
Source: RNAcentral
GGAUUAGAUACCCUGGUAGUCCACACCGUAAACGCUGUCUACUAGCUGUCUGUGUAUUUAAUACGUGGUAGCGUAGCUAACGCGCUAAGUAGACCGCCUGGGGAGUACGGCCGCAAGGUUAAAACUCAAAUGAAUUGACGGGGGCCCGCACAAGCGGUGGAGCAUGUGGUUUAAUUCGAUGCAACGCGAAGAACCUUACCAGGACUUGACAUCCUACUAAGUUACCAGAGAUGGUUUCGUGCCUUCGGGAAAGUAGUGACAGGUGCUGCAUGGCUGUCGUCAGCUCGUGCCG